GGAAAAACAAGAAAACCUAGGUGGAAAUUUAAAGAAAAAGUGAAGAAAUAAAGGAAACAAGCUAGGUAAGUUACAAUUUCUUUAAUUCUCCUUGAUACCUAGCUUACCCAUGCUUUUGUUUUUGAUUUUCAUGGUUGAAUAUUGAGUUAUCAUGAUGAAUUCAAUUCUGAAAAAUGGGUAUGGAAGAGGAAUUGUUGUUGGAAUAAUUUGAUUUUAGACUAUGUUAGUGUUUAGGGAUAGUUAAGCAUGGUUAUGAACAAAAACACAAAAGAAAUAUUCAAUUUCUCUAGGGUUCCUUGUUGGUCGAACCAUGAGGGUUGAAUAUCAAUGGGGGAUUGUUUUUAUUUCAAGGAAAAUGGCUUGAAAAAUGAUGAAUUAAGGUGAAACGGUUAUGUAUAAAAAAAAUUUCGGUUCUAGUGCACCUAAUGACCAAAUUUUUUUAUAAGGAACUGUGAGGGUUCUAAUGCUGAAUUUGGCUUUAUUUAAAUGGUAUGUGGCAAAUUAAGGUAUUAGAGGAGAAGUGGAUUAAUUUGGAGGUGAUUUGGACACAAUCACCAAUUAAUCAGGUGAUCGGUCGAAUUUAAUCGAUACCGCAAUUAAGCGGUAAUUGGACGUAUUUUUGCAUUUAUAUAUCAAGCAUUAGUAAUUUAAAUUAGUUUAUAUCAAUUUAGGGACAAUAUAGUAAAUUCCUCGACUUUGUUAUUUGUCAAGGUAGUGAGACGUCCGAAAAAGGCAAAGGAAUUGCGCCUGAGGACUAUUAGUCCGAGUGCACCCGAAAUCUGGAUUUUUGACACCUGUGAGUGAAUUUGCAUUUCAAAAUUUAUUUGGGAAUUCUAAUUAAGUUGAAAUGAAAUGCGUGAAUGAUUAUAUCUUAUUCUCAUUUAAAAAUGAAUCUCGGGAACAAGCCUUUAUUGAAAAUAUUUCUGUGAUGUUAAAUAUGAUUGCGAUGCAUCUGUGUAUAUCUGUAUGAUGCCUACAUGUAUUAUAGAGAAAUUGUGUGAAAUUAAGUGUACUGAAUCUGUGUACCCUUGUAUUAUGCUGAUAUGCAUUAUUAAUAAAUUAUUGUGAAAUUGAUGCAACCGUGCAUGUGUGGAGUAGGAAGUGCAAUGCCAGUUGAAUGACAAAGGAUGUGAUAAUUACGAUCGUGCAUGUGCGGAGUGGGAAGUGCAAAUGCCGAUUUAAUGAUAAAGGUUGUGAUAAUUACAACCGUGCAUGUGCGGAGUGGGAAGUACAAAUGCCGGUUUAAUGAUAAAAGUUAUGAUAAUUACGACCGUGCAUGUGUGGAGUGGGAAGUACAAAUGCCGAUUUAAUGAUAAAGGUUGUGAUAAUUACUACCGUGCAUGUGCAAAGUGGGGACGACGAUACGUAGCGCCCACAAUUUCCUAGAAAUUCAGAGGUGUGCAAAGAGGGAUACUGAGUGAUACCCCUUACCGAGUACUCCGAUAGUUAUUUCUUUGUACCACCAAGAACAAUGAAGACUUGGCGAUGUAUAUAAUUGCUCAUAUCUUUGUGUAUAUAUGUGUGAUUGUGUGGUAUGUGAAACCCUUGUUUGUGACGGUUUGUGAUAAACCGUUCAUUUUGCUAUCUUGCUUGAUAGAACAAUUGGUGAAUAAAAUUGUACGUGAUACAUAUGCAUAUAUGAAUCGUACGGGUUGUGAAACCCUUAUUAUGUGACGAUUUGUAAAUAAUCGUCAGUUUUACUACUUUGCUAGAAUGAUCGGUGUAAACUC
Molecule: long non-coding RNA, 1730 nt
Filed under: Theobroma cacao (cacao)
Lineage: Eukaryota; Viridiplantae; Streptophyta; Magnoliopsida; Malvales; Malvaceae
Description: long non-coding RNA (TCAC_LNC000160)
Source: RNAcentral